Non-coding RNA from Chelonoidis abingdonii (Abingdon island giant tortoise), 93 nucleotides. Lineage: Eukaryota; Metazoa; Chordata; Testudines; Testudinidae. The record is from RefSeq and is a predicted model, not a curated record.
UACACCAGAGGUGGCCAAACUUACUGACCCUCCAAGCCGCAUAGGACAAUCUUCGGAAGUUCAAGAGCCAGGGGUUGCCAGGCAGGGCAGGGC